This 2614-nucleotide long non-coding RNA is filed under the name Homo sapiens (human). RNAcentral's name for it is "HSALNT0055389". Lineage: Eukaryota; Metazoa; Chordata; Mammalia; Primates; Hominidae. The record is from RNAcentral.
CUUUCUCAUGCUGUUCUCACGAUAGUGAAUAAGUCUCACAAGAUCUGAAGGUUAUAUAAAGAGAAGUUCCCUACACCACUUCUGUCUUUGCCUGCUGCCAUCCACGUGAUAUGUGACUUGCUGCUCCUUGCCUUCUGCCAUAAUUGUGAGGCCUCCUCAGCCACACGGAAAUGCUUAUAGGCAUAAGAGACUUGCCUUGUCUCAGAUGAAACUUUGGACUGUGGACUUUUGAGUUAAUGCUGAUAUUAGGACUCUGCUUACCCUUUGUGAAUAAGCCCAGUGAAUCUGCUGAGUGAUGAGAGAGAGAGUGGGCCAGUCACUUCAUUGCUCCAGGUAACAUGCAGUUAUCUUCCCCCAGGAUUUUCUGUUGAAUGACACUUCAUAAAAAAGACUUUGAUUGCUGAGUUACAAAGACAAUUGUAUCUUCUUGUAAAGCAUACAGUCUUGGUGGUCCUACCCCAUGAACUGGCUGUCCCAGGACGGUUUUACGGUGGUUAUGUUGAAGAUGUAAAUAUUCUCCCUGCUGUGAGUAUUACUGCAGCUGCCCAAAGAUGCUUUAUUUUAAAGAUGUGGAUACAGGAAGAUAAAAGCAUCAGAAACACUGCAUGGGAAAAUCAUUCAGACUGCAGCUUCCUGGUUUUAGACAUCCCCACUGGCAAUUGGGACAUCUAUUUUGGAGAUGUAAUUGAAAAGACUGAAGAAUGUACUGAGGACCUUCUGGCUGAUAGAAGCUGACAAAGAAGCCAAGAUUGGUGAAGAUUUCUGCAAUACCUGAGUUUCUAAUCACAACAACAAAAAUGACCUGGAUAGAAAACCUUGGAGAUAGUAAUUGAUGGGCAUCACGUAGCUGGUUGCUGGAGAAACACUGAAGCAGAACUUGUAAUAUCUUCAAAACAAGUGAAGGCCAGGAAUCAGAAAUGCUUCUGAAGGUCAGCUGCCUCUCCAGCCAUCUAUGAAGAGCUAUGGUUCUGAAUCCUGGCUAAUAUCAGAAUCAUCCUGGGAGCUUUUGAAAAUCCUGAUGCUCAAGUCACACUCCAUACUCAGGUUGUGUAAGCAGAAGCUGGAAGACCCUUGAAAAGAGCAUUCAUUCAAGAAAUGAAGCAUGAGAUAGGAUGGAAGGAGGGAAGAAAGACAAGCAUAUGGCAUAUCAGGUCUCUUCCAGUGCUAAAGGCUGCCUAUGAUACUCAUCUGACCUGAUUUCUCCUGCACAGUGUUGCAACUGACGAGUAGCAGACUUGCCCUUGCCUGCAUUUGGGGGGAUGGCUGAGACUUUCCUUACAGAAAGCCCUACUUUCAGCAUGAACACUAACCCAGUUUAUUGGCUCAGGGUGUAGAGAGUUGCCUUGUCACUGGCGAAGUCAGAUGCAGCCAGUACCAGAGCUCUGCACUAGCUGUGAACACUAAGGAAGAAUAGCUGAGUGAGGAAGCAGAGUGCCAGGCAGCACAUCCUUCUUCAGGUGUUUCCUGCCCUGGGCCAGAUCCCAGGCACUGCAGCAAUAUCUCUGCAUGAUCUAGGGCUCCUGGAAAUAGCCCAUUAAGGGCAAAACUCGCUGCCCAGAAAACAUUAGAACAUUAAAAGAGCAGGGUCUCAUCUGAUUGUCUUGGUUUCCUGAGGCUCAUUCAGUCUGUGUCCACUGGUUUCAGUCUGAGUUCUCUGCACUUUGAGGAUGCAGACAGUGAAGUUCUCCCAUGGUUAUAGGGGGAGAGAUCAUAGGAAUGCUAUGGAAAGAGGCCUGAAGUCAGAGCCAGCUAGUGGUUAUUAUUUAUUAAUUGCCUGUGAGGUGCCAGGCGCACAUAUUAGACCAUAUGUGAUUGCAGUGAGCCACCCGGAUCCCCUUCAAGCUGCUGCUGCAGCUGAUGGAAGUCCUAUUGGCAGACAGCCUUCUCUCAUCAGCCCCUUCAGGACUUGCCUCAGUUGCAGAGAGCUGCCUUCCCCAAGAUCACACCCUUCCCUGGGGACUCACAACCAAUGGCUGAUCCAGAAGAAUCCAUAAAGCCCGUAUCAUUUCAGCCCAAUUUAGGACAGCUUUGUUGAGCCAUUAGACCUACAUGCAGCCCAACCUCUCCUUCUACCCACUUCUUCUUUCUUCCCUUUCCUUCCACGGUGUCUGUUCCAAGCACUUGCCUUAAUAAACAUGUAACAGGUUAAACUCUGUCUCGAUGUCUGCUUCAAGGAGAACCCAACCUGUGACAGUGAUAACAGAUAAAAACAAAGGACAUCACUUUUCCCUGCCUUACUUUCCAUUUACCACUAAAAAGGGUCUUGGACUUGCCCACUCAGUUUCUUCUCUUUCUUCACUCUUUGGAGAUGGUCCCUCCACUACCACAGACACAAAAAAGAAGAGUUGGGAAGAGAGAGGGGUGAAAACAUUUGGGGCACUGCAGGCCUAGUGCUAGGUGACUGAAGACUACCUGGAGGGUGCAGGAAGUGACUGUUUCUCCAUCAUGUAUUGUAUUGCUAUAGUGACUUAAAAAACAAGUAGGUGAUUUGUGUUUUUUUGGUUUUUUUUUGUUUUUUUGGUUUUUUUUUUGAGACAGAGUCUCGCUCUGUCACCCAGGCUGGAGUGCAGUGGCGCUAUCUUGGCUCACUGCAAGCUCCACCUCCUGGGUUCAC